Neoarius graeffei (lesser salmon catfish) is the source of this 1049-nucleotide long non-coding RNA. RefSeq lists it as uncharacterized. The record is from RefSeq and is a predicted model, not a curated record. The transcript has 5 exons. NCBI's taxonomy places the organism in Eukaryota, Metazoa, Chordata, Actinopteri, Siluriformes, Ariidae.
CACAGCAGCUGUGUGUGUAUGUGUGUGUUUGUUUGUUCCCUCUGCACACUGGCCCUGACCAGGCAGAAGACACCUACACAGAUCUUGUUUCUACUGAUAUCUUUGCGUGUCUGCUCUGUGCCCUGGACUUACACCUUUAAGCCCCUGGAAUAGCAACUAUGUCGGUGGUUGUCCCUUCACUGGAAAACCCCAACUUUACCAUAAUUCACUCUGUUCCUUCAUGCAGAGAGAGACAGUUCAUCGGCUCCUGCAGCCCAAAAACAUUUUAGCAGCUUCACCAGAUGUCCUUGCAGUGACUGAAAAACUACGGUGGCUAUCAGCUCAUAGACCGUGAGUUGAGAAAAACAAAAUGGUGGAGCGUGUUGCUGAACCAACCGAGGAUGAAAUAAAAACUACUCGAAAACAAAACCUGAAAAAUACAACAACAAAAAAAGCAACAAAACAUGGAAUAAAGGUAUUUCAUGAAUCAACUUAUCAUCCUUGUUAAAAAAAAAAAAAGCGAGCGAGAGAGAACAUGGAUUCAAGAUUGUUACACCUUAGCGUGAAAUUUUUGCACUUGUCUGUCAUCAGCAAAAUAUUUGGACAUUGAAGAAACAGCUAAUAAAAACUCCUGCUUGCUGUCACAAAGACUUCCAGGAAUUAGGACGUGUACAUCCAAAAUGAGUUCUCAAGGGACAAGCACAAGGAAAAUAAAGAGGAGAAGUAAAAGAGUGGAGGAGAAGGAGGAGGAGGAGAAGACUAGAAGAGGAGGCAUGUCAAGAGAAGCGGCUACUGUGAGUGUUUCUCUGGCAGUGUCUUAGCUGGUUGUUGUGAGGAGUGAGAUCGAAGCAAUCAGCAAGUAUACUGCCGCAGAAACUCGUCACCAUGCGAAGCCUGUCCAGUUGCAUCGUCAACACAUUGACCUAGAGAAAGAAGGAACUCCCAUCUUAUCCCGUCACCCUCCAUUUCAGGACUCCUCUGCACUGCGAGGUUGUGAGAUACUGCAUUUCUUAAUAUUUGCACUUCAGUUUCUCAUUUCUUGUGUAUUUGCAGUGUUUCAAUCUGUAAUG